GAUUAACGCUGGCGGCGUGCAUGAGACAUGCAAGUCGAACGGACGAUCAGGGCUUGCUCUGAUCGUUAGUGGCGGACGGCUGAGUAACGCGUAGGUGACCUGCCCCGAAGUGGGGGAUAACUGCCCGAAAGGGUGGCUAAUACCGCAUGUGGAGGUUCGUUCAUUCGAACCUUCAAAGCAGCAAUGCGCUUCGGGAGGGGCCUGCGUCCGAUUAGCUCGNGGUGGGGUAACGGCUCACCAAGGCGACGAUCGGUAGGUGGUCUGAGAGGACGAUCACCCAGACUGGGACUGAGACACGGCCCAGACUCCUACGGGAGGCAGCAGUCGGGAAUUUUGCGCAAUGGACGAAAGUCUGACGCAGCAACGCCGCGUGAGGGAUGACGGCCU
Molecule: ribosomal RNA, 387 nt
Filed under: uncultured bacterium
Lineage: Bacteria
Description: bacterial SSU rRNA
Rfam family: Bacterial small subunit ribosomal RNA
Source: RNAcentral